RNAcentral lists this ribosomal RNA (497 nucleotides) under uncultured bacterium. RNAcentral's name for it is "partial 16S ribosomal RNA". It matches the Rfam family "Bacterial small subunit ribosomal RNA", at positions 28 to 507 of the family's 1533-position model. The record is from RNAcentral.
GAUGAACGCUGGCGGCGUGCCUAAUACAUGCAAGUCGAGCGAACGGACGAGAAGCUUGCUUUUCUGAUGUUAGCGGCGGACGGGUGAGUAACACGUGGAUAACCUACCUAUAAGACUGGGAUAACUUCGGGAAACCGGAGCUAAUACCGGAUAAUAUUUUGAACCGCAUGGUUCAUAAGUGAAAGACGGUCUUGCUGUCACUUAUAGAUGGAUCCGCGCUGCAUUAGCUAGUUGGUAAGGUAACGGCUUACCAAGGCAACGAUGCAUAGCCGACCUGAGAGGGUGAUCGGCCACACUGGAACUGAGACACGGUCCAGACUCCUACGGGAGGCAGCAGUAGGGAAUCUUCCGCAAUGGGCGAAAGCCUGACGGAGCAACACCGCGUGAGUGAUGAAGGUCUUCGGAUCGUAAAACUCUGUUAUUAGGGAAGAACAUAUGUGUAAGUAACUGUGCACAUCUUGACGGUACCUAAUCAGAAAGCCACGGCUAACUACGUG